Molecule: ribosomal RNA, 253 nt
Filed under: uncultured bacterium
Lineage: Bacteria
Description: partial 16S ribosomal RNA
Rfam family: Bacterial small subunit ribosomal RNA
Source: RNAcentral
UACAGAGGGGGCAAGCGUUGUUCGGAAUUACUGGGCGUAAAGGGCGCGUAGGCGGUCCGCUAAGUCGAACGUGAAAUCCCCAGGCUCAACCUGGGAACUGCGUCCGAUACUGGCAGGCUUGAAUCCGGGAGAGGGAUGUGGAAUUCCAGGUGUAGCGGUGAAAUGCGUAGAUAUCUGGAGGAACACCGGUGGCGAAGGCGGCAUCCUGGACCGGUAUUGACGCUGAGGCGCGAAAGCUAGGGGAGCAAACGGG